This 73-nucleotide transfer RNA is filed under the name Boudabousia marimammalium. Its description in RNAcentral is "Actinomyces marimammalium tRNA". It matches the Rfam family "tRNA". From Rfam's summary of the family: Transfer RNA (tRNA) molecules are approximately 80 nucleotides in length. Their secondary structure includes four short double-helical elements and three loops (D, anti-codon, and T loops). Lineage: Bacteria; Bacillati; Actinomycetota; Actinomycetes; Actinomycetales; Actinomycetaceae. RNAcentral also lists the same sequence under 1 other name. The record is from Rfam by way of RNAcentral.
GCCAACUUAGCUCAGUCGGUAGAGCAAUUCACUCGUAAUGAAUAGGUCGCGGGUUCGAUUCCCGCAGUUGGCU